This 439-nucleotide ribosomal RNA is filed under the name Penaeus monodon (black tiger shrimp). Its description in RNAcentral is "partial 16S ribosomal RNA". It matches the Rfam family "Bacterial large subunit ribosomal RNA", at positions 1918 to 2558 of the family's 2925-position model. The record is from RNAcentral. Lineage: Eukaryota; Metazoa; Arthropoda; Malacostraca; Decapoda; Penaeidae.
UAUUUUUAAAGGGCCGCGGUAUACUGACCGUGCGAAGGUAGCAUAAUCAUUAGUCUUUUAAUUGAAGGCUUGUAUGAAUGGUUGGACAAAAAGUAAUCUGUCUCAAUUGUAAUAGUUGAACUUAACUUUUAAGUGAAAAGGCUUAAAUACUUUAAGGGGACGAUAAGACCCUAUAAAACUUGACAAUAAAUUAGUUAAAUUAUAAAUUGUUAGUAUAACUUGAUCUUAAUUAAUGUUUGUUGCGUUGGGGCGACGGGAAUAUAAUUAGUAACUGUUCUUAAAUACUUAUUAACAAGUAUAAUUGAAAAAUAAUUGAUCCUUUAUUAAAGAUUAAAAGAUUAAGUUACUUUAGGGAUAACAGCGUAAUCUUCUUUGAGAGUCCUCAUCGACAAGAAGGUUUGCGACCUCGAUGUUGAAUUAAGGUAUCCUUAUAAUGCAC